AUUGAACGCUGGCGGCAGGCCUAACACAUGCAAGUCGAGCGAGCGGCGGACGGGUGAGUAAUGUCUGGGAAACUGCCUGGUGGAGGGGGAUAACUACUGGAAACGGUAGCUAAUACCGCAUACCAUCAGAUGUGCCCAGAUGGGAUUAGCUAGUAGGUGGGGUAACGGCCCACCUAGGCGACGAUCCCUAGCUGGUCGGAGAGGAUGACCAGCCACAAUGGAACUGAGACACGGUCCAGACUCCUACGGUAGGCAGCAGUGGGGAAUAUUGCACAAUGGGCGCAAGCCUGAUGCAGCCAUGCCGCGUGAGUGAAGAAGGCCUUCGGGUUGUAAAGCACUUUCAUCGGGGAGGCGUUACCCGCAGAAGAAGCAACGGCUAACUACGUGCCAGCAGCCGCGGUAAUAC
Molecule: ribosomal RNA, 406 nt
Filed under: uncultured bacterium
Lineage: Bacteria
Description: partial 16S ribosomal RNA
Rfam family: Bacterial small subunit ribosomal RNA
Source: RNAcentral